Falco peregrinus (peregrine falcon) is the source of this 11632-nucleotide long non-coding RNA. RefSeq lists it as uncharacterized. The transcript has 4 exons. The record is from RefSeq and is a predicted model, not a curated record. Lineage: Eukaryota; Metazoa; Chordata; Aves; Falconiformes; Falconidae.
CGUGCUGUUAAAUAAACGGGGACUUGUGGGCUGUGUCACCUCGUGGGGGCCACCUCGGUGCCAGGGCGGGUGGCCUUGGCCUCCAGCCUGCGGCAGCUACGAGCCGGCGUGGUUAGGCACCCCCGGGGCUCGGGUCGCACCGGGGGCUCUCCCGUCGGUCACAGGAGGGGAGGAUUAGACGGGGCGUGGGAAGAGCUGCCGAGCUUGUGCCCAGGAAGGGUUUUCUGAGGUUUUUUCUACUGCAGCACUGGGGCUCGUGGGGGUCCGUGGUGGUUUCACCUGUGUGACGGUGCCUUUCUGCCUGCCUUUCAGCUGCUGCCUGCUGCUGAUCCGAGCCGUGCGGGAGCUGCCGGACUGCGUCGGGGAGGUUACUGCAGCCCCGUCUUCCCGGGGACUGUGAAUACCGGGGCUGUCCAACCUGCAGCUUUCGGCUUUCAACCCAAACCAGCGCGAGAGCUUUGAUACAAGCCCAAAGAGCACAAAGCCGCAGCGGUGCCUUGGUUCAGGAGCAAUUUUCUCACGUCCUUGUUAAAACCCUGCGGUUGUCCUGCCUUCCUAUCGCUGCUUCCACUGCUCGCGGCUACGUUGUGAGUUUCAGAAGACCAAACACAGAGUGAAUCUCACAAAGUGCCAGUUGCCUCCACUUUCCUGGCUGGGUAGGUGCAGCUUGUAUGUUACUCAGAGAGUAAAAUACAUGCCUAAAAUCCUGACAGUUAGGCGUGGAUUUUCUCGGAGGGGAGUGCUGAAACAGCUGCUGACCUGAAGCGUUGUCUGGUUGUAUUCUUACCAGGAUCUAAACAAAUUACAUAUCAGAAAUCAGUUGUUUGGGGAAAAUCUCCAGCUGUCAUUGCUGUCACCUGAAUGAUGGCCUGUCAACAUGAAGCACAGAGAUUGCCUAAUCUGUUCUUGUUAUUGGAUUAUGUGACUAUGGUACGCUGCUCUGGCUUCUGUCCAUAACCCGUCACAACCGGCACCGUGUUUCUGCCCAGCCUCCGAGCACUUCAAACACGGGCAGGUAGGGAAGCGUGUCCUCCCCGCCGUGCCUACCGGGUGCCAUGAGUGGCCAGCAAGUACCGGAGCCAGGACGUGUCCAGGACCCAGCCGAGAGCCUGGCGAGCAAAGUGCUGGGUCCCCAGCACCCAGGCCUGUGGCCCCAGGGGGACUUCAGCCAAGCCCCUGAGGCGGAGGCGGGUGGAAGCGUUGGGUGCCCACACCCUCCUCGGCAUGCCUGCUGCCCCGCGCAAGCUGGGAUUUGUGCGCUGGCACCCUCGCAGCGCUCCCAGUAACCCUCCAGCCCCGGGCUGCGGGAUGAGCCAGGCUACGCGGGCGCUGGGGCCCUCGGUGGGAUGCCGGCAGCUCCUGGUGGGAGCCGAGCUCCAGACCUUGCACGAGUGCUCCGCUGGCCAGCCGCUGUCUGCUGCCGUCAGGCACAGCUGCAGCCUGCCUGGCUGUGGGGACAGCGUCUUAAUCCCACUGCUUCAAAAAAAGAACCAAAAAUUCCUUCUCCUGCUGAAGUGCUGUUCAGGGAAGGACAGAGAAGCCCAGCGGUAUGGCUCAGCGAGGGAUGAGAGUUGAGCUUCAGUGAUGUUAUAUCAGAUGAAUUUAUCCUCUCAGCCUUGGUCAAACUGUCUGCAUACCUGGUCCCUAAAUCAUUGUCUGCAUUAUCUUGUUAUUAUUUCUGUCUGCCUCACAGAGCUGUUAAAGUCCUGGGCUUAAGAACAAAAAAUGCCUCUCCAAGACAGAGUCAGUGCCCUCUCCUGUUGACCGUUUCCCCACGUGCAUCCCUCAGCAGCAUAGCUGUGUAUGCCAGAGAAGGAAAUAAGGAGGAAAACUUGGUCCCCACUGGCUUAAGCCUUGAGACACAAGGUACUGUUCUUCCUCAGCCACUUGCAAGGAAAUGGCUUGCCACCAAGGUGGCAAACAGCUGAAAAAUAAGAUCUGCAGAUUGUUGGUAUAUGCUCUUGGAAUGGUCCCUGGCAGUGGGAUGGAGGUGUGACAGGGGGCUUAGAAAGAGAUGUUUGGAUCAAGAGCUCUGCACAAGCACUUCAGUCCUUCGCAGUUUUCGUUAGGUGGACAUCUGCAGAGGCCCAGGGUGAUGUGUUUUCCCGUUUGCCUGUAUCUAAGCAGCUUUGCCUUGGAGGUAACAUGGACCUUGUGGGGCUCCUGCACUGAGGCUGACUGCUUCCAGCCCUGGGAUCAUAACGCAUACGUGGGAGAGAUUUGAAAAAGGAAGGAUUUCAACUGGAGUUUGAUGCUUGUGUUUCUUAGGCACAUCCCCACCUAAAUUCACCGGCUGCUGAAGGGCGCAGUGCCUGUUUUCUUCUGCUUUCAUUUCAGUUCACUUGCUUCAUUCCAGCCCCGUCACAGCGGUUCUUGGGCCCAGCCCAGCACUUAGCAGCAGUAGCACAGGAAUUGAUUUCAGCAGGAGCAGACAAUCCCCUAAAUUAUUAAUGUCGAUAAUGGACAAACCACAGGACACAAGCAAAAAUAUACAGAUGAAAGAGCUGAAGAAGUGAGAGGGUGGCAGCUGGAACCAUCAGGGUGAUGAGAGAGAACUGGGAUAGAGAGAGAUGUCCCAGGUGGCUGGGGCCAAGACGGAGCACAAGCAGAGAAGGUUUUGUGCUAAUCCAAAAGCACAGAAGUGCACCUCUUGGUGACGUUCCUAAAUGCUGUGGGUACAUUUGCUGUGUCCUGUCAGGGCUUUAUAACCAGCAACAAGCAGCUCACAUGCAGAAAGUCCUACAUGGCAAAAGACGUGUGCCCCAUGCCUGUAUUAAAAACCUGCUGGGGGGCCAGGGGGGCAGGGGACAUCACUGUGUUGACCCCAUCCCCUGUGUGAAGGUGGCCUUUGAGGUUGCCCCGUCUGUACGACACUGGGUGGCUCCUUGGCAGCCCGCCUGGCACGUCCUAGUUGUGUUUCUCAGAACCCCUCCGUGUUUUCAGCUGAUUUGCUUUGACAUCAGCAGCCGGCAAGAAGUUCUCUGUGUCGGGGUGCGUGGGAGUGCUAUGUGACACCUUAAUCAUGCUAAACAGGAACACACAUUCAGAUUUCCUCAGCGUUUCAAAGAAAUGUGAUUUCCUUUGUGCUGCAAAGAAAGAGUCGAUUUGAUUGCAACUCUCUGUGGAGAUCAGCUCCGGUGCCUGUGAAUUAGGGUGCCAGGAUCUCAUUCUGGGAAAAAAAGGGAGAUAAAACAUACCAGGCUUUCGUGCUGCAACCGUCAGGGUUAGGUUUCUUGCUGGUAACUGGGGAUUGUUUUGAGGAGAGCUGUUUAAUUUAAUUGGCCAAGGUAUCAAGAAAUCAGAUUCUGUUCAAAAAUAAAAAUAAAAAUCUGUAUAGAGUCAAAGCAUCAGCAAAUACUGUACUAAAUCCCAACUUCCCAAACAGUUGUUAAUCAUUUAGCAAAGACUUCAGAAAUGAAUUCAAAGUCCAAAAGAGUGGUUCACUGGUUAGUGUAUUUCUCCUCCCUGUAUGAUUGACAAACAUUUCAUAUCUCAGUGAAAACUCAGCUAGCCAUGGUUCAGUAUAGAUUUAGCUGAGCAUUUGCUGGCCCAGGUGAGACAAAAUAAUGACAGGCAAGAGUCAUGAGAGACCUUCUAGCACAGGGCCAGGCAGAGAGCGAUACGUGCCAUAGGGUGGGAUUUUAUAGCUGGUGUGAUAUGUGAUAUGUGGCAAGGCCAUUGGAAAAGCUGGAUUUGCCUGUGUGCUCGUCCUUCUGACAGCCUUACUCCCUCGGCAUGGCUCAUCCAGAGGCACAGGACUGCUUGGAUGCUCGGCAUGAAAGUGCCUUUCAUUUUUUAUGUGAUUUAUGAGAUAACCUUAAAAACUCUGCGUUUGGUAAAUUACUGUGCAUAGUAAUAAGAAAAGCUCCUGUUGGACCCGAUAAAUGAAUUUGAAUGAUGAUGCUCAGUUUAGAAAAUGGCUGUGUUCCUGCUAGAUGUGUGCCCAAAACACAGGUCUGAAAUGAGGUAUUGUCCUGUAACCGCUGUCAUGGGGCAGUAAGGCUUUCCAUGGGGUUCACCAGGCAUGUGAUAAUUGUUGCUGCCCAACAGUUUUAGUGUUCAGCACUGAAUUAACUGUUGCCUAACCCUAUUCACAUAGCGUGCAAAAAAAGUAGGUCACUCAAGACAGCAGGUAUUGCUCAGCUUGGAAAUCCACUUUGGCACGUUCACAGUUCAGCAGCUCCUCUGGAGGAAGGGUUACAUCCAUCACUACCAGGCUCCUACCCCAGCUGCCUCUUCAGAAGAGCAGCGACCUGCAUUCCUCUUUCUCCCCAGUGCAGCGUGAGGGUGCUUUUCCUUUGACAAGUGGACUGCUCCAAGACAGGGAAUGUCCCCUUCCCUCUUGAGUUCCAACGAUCUUCCUGUUUUAAUUGGGCACUAACGAUAAGCUCGCCUCGGUCUCAUGGGAAACGAUGUCUCUGCUGCAAGAGGAAGCUGAACAGAGGAUGCAUUUCUCCCCUUCUGCCUUGGUCUGCUGUUACUCUGCGAUGCUGCAAAAGCCAGGUGCUGCUCUAGAGCAGGAUAAGCCCUGCUCCCUGCGGCUGCCAAGGGCCACCGGGCUGCACGGUGGUGUCCAGGGCCCAGGGACAACAGGGUAGUCCCCAUGAGGAUGGCCCAGGAGCUGGCUGCUGGUAGAGGAGAGCAGCACUGCCCUGGAAAGCGGGAUGGUACGGACCAGCACAAGCAGGGUGGGCUUCUCCUGGGAGCCUCUUAAGAGGAGUUCAGCGUUAGAUUGACAGCGUUGGAUGUUUGUCCACCACGAGCUGCUCUUUCCCACGGUGCUCAGGCACUCUCCUUUGCCUUGCUCAGGGGAUUAAGGCAGCUUGCCUGAUCAGUUCUUGGCACCCAACCUACCUAAUAUUUUGUGCUCUGAAUCCUGCCUGCUGGGCUGGGGUUAAUUAGCCUGGUCAUCUGCAGGAAAGCAGACCCAGGCAGGAGUUUUCCACAGCUCCCUCGCAGCUAUGUUGCCACACAGCCCUACCCCCAAGCGGGCUUUCUGUCGCCUCCCGCUCUUGCCUUAUUUAAGCUCCCCAAGCUGCGUGCCCGGCUGCUGGCCGGUAUGGCAGGAGGCAGCCCUGUGGUGGCACGUUUCAGCGCGAUGCAAACGGCAAAGGGCUUCGCUCCCUCAGCUCAAACACAUCUACUCGCAUCUUUAUAUGGAUUGAAGAGCAGCGCUGGCACCAGGCCAGCAUCCAUCACUGCUCCUUCUCACCGGGUAAAGCAAGGGGCUCUCCCGCUAUGCGUUUGUCAGAGCUUGGGGAUCAAUGUCAUUUUAGAGCUGUGGUUAAGCAGUCACACAAAAUUACCUGUGUAAAAAUACAGUGCAGGGAAUGUUAGCUAAGCUUCACUUAGAUCACUGCAGAUGUGUUAUUUUGGGAGAGCAUUCAUGCUGUGCAGUCCUUAUUCAGAUAAAACUGCAAUUGACGUAAUUUUUUCCAUAAUGCUGCUUUUAUUUGAAAUCAUAUCUAUACAUCUUGUACAAAUCAAACUAAUAAUAAGCAUUUCCAUGACAUACUCUACUUAUGGAUUAAUUUUGGAAUUUAGUUUAUAGACAUGAUUUGACUUCAGUGGGAUUAUGUCCCUAAAAGGACGGCAGCAGCAGGGGACAAAUGCUAGAAAGUGGCUUUUUGUCUAUAAUUCAACAUAUUUGUUUGUGGAACCCAGAACAAUGUUCUAAUCUUCCAUCUGAAAACUGCCUUGUCACCUCCUUUGCCUCUCAUCUCCUCCGCGACUCGGUAUUUCUUACAAGGCAGGUAUUGUCAAAUCUCUUUCUUCAAACAUAUAAUAACCACCUUUUGUAUUGAACAGGCGUAUAAAUUACUCAGCUUAUAUGACAGAACAGAAAAUAAAGAGUUGAGUGUCUGGCAGGGGUGCCGAAGAGUGAUGUUAUUAUAACCUUACUGUGAAAGAUUUGCCAACAGAAAGUUACAUAUCAGUGAGGUAACCGACAACAGUAUUGCCUUUAUUACGCCAAAUAUUAGAGAACAUAAUUGUAUGAUAUAUUUCCAGACAAAUUGGACCUCUCUUAUCAGGAUGAUCAGUAGCCAUCCUUGUGCAUCACAUAUGGGAUUUAUAGCUUAAAUAGACCCCAAGCAUUGAAAUACGUACAGUCACAGGGUUUACGCCUGUAAGUAUUACAACCUUAUUAUUCAGCCCUUCUUGGGAAUUUUUCCAAGACUUUUUUUUAAAGUUGAAAAUAGUGUUCUUGCAAAAUUAAAAUCUUGCAGGUUUUCAGUUUGCCUUCAUGUAAAUUUUACUAGGAAUAGAAUAGAUAUUUCAAGGUGGAGCGGUCCAAAUGAAACCAAAUCACUGUGCCUGGCUUGGAGCAGUUUCAAACAUCCAUCCAUCCUUGCCUGUGCCGCUGUCAGAUGUAUGGGAUUUAUGUUCAGACACUUUGUCCCACCAGUUUCUGUGAACCGGCUUGGCUUCCCAAGGCACCUGCAGUCAUCAGCUGGGUAGAGCAACGCAAUCCACCCUGGCAGCCAGCAAACACAGUGUCCCUUGGGCACAGAAGUGAACAGAAGCACACUGUAGCCUUGUAGGAAAAGCUGAGUAUUUAAGUUUAUAGGGGAAGAGUACAAGGUUGAGAGGCAGCUUAGAUGAAGGGCACCUGUAGCUGCCUUUCCACGUUGGGGUUUAUCCCCUCAAACUUGUACGGCCCUUCUUAAGCCUCAGAGUAAAGUGGCCUUUCCAAGGGUAAUUGGAACAGCACAACACAGCUACUGAAGCAGCUUCCCAAAACAAUAUCUCACCAGCUCACUUCUCGUCCUUGGUGGCUGACUGCAUCCCGAGGCACCCCCGUUACCUGGUGACCAGCGGAACAGCUAACCCUCUCUGGGACAUCACCUACAGCACCCGGUCAGUAACAAGCAGCGUUACCAUCAGCGCUUUUUGCUUGAUUUAUGGUGCUUGUAAGCAAUCAGCUGACUUUGGAUGGAGGCUUAGGAUCAACCUGGCUGAAGCAGAAAAAACAAAAAAGCUAGAAGCUCUUUCCUGGUUGCUGCUCGGUUGCAGCUGGGAUUUGGUGCAUGGCUCCACCUCACGGCAGCUGCACAAGUACGCAAGGAAAGAGUUUGAGCGGCGAUCUGCUUUGUGGGGGGAUGAAUGACACCGUUUACUUCUUCGCAAAGUGAUCGCUGCUUGUCACCAAAUCAAACAGACUUAUCACAGGCUCUGGAAAUCAGGGUGAGGUGCAGCGAAGUCUCGGUGUUGAGCUUUUUCUGCUCAAGGUGUGAAAGUCGCACGCAGGCUUUGGCUGCUUGGUCUCGUUUCCCCUUUGCGUUACAGGUGGGGUGAGUAGUGCUGCCCGCUGGAAAGGCCACCCAGUACUCCCAAUGUCCUACUCUUUUUUCAUGUAUUUACAAAUAUUAGUUGAUAAAUUUUUGGGAGGCUGAAAAUUUGCAGGCCCAGUGUCUGCUUUGGAGAAAGUUGUUGCUGAAGUAAACUAGUAGUUUACUAGUAGGAUGCCGGCUGAGAGGGACGCGUGGCUGCUCUGAAACAGGUGCUCGCACUUCAUUAUUGUCCUUUUCAACCCCCUCUGUGCUAAUGGCUCAGCUCGGCAACGGGACAUUUGGGGGCUCGGGGCAGAGCCGUGCUUUGUGCGUACUUCUUGCUGUUCCCGUCCGAACUAAACCAAAACCAUUAGACGUACAAUGUGAUGGCCUCAGCAGAGACGCCUGUAGUGCCCAGUGCCCUGUGCCCAGUGCCCGGUGCCAGCCCUGGCUCCCCGCAGCUGCCACGGACCAGCAGCGGAGCCCCUGCCACCAGCACUUCACCAUCUCUGCUGCCCUCCCAUGGCACAUCUAGGGGAAGAAAAUGAGCCUGUUUCAGGCAAAUUCAAAGGCAUGGUUUGAAUACGGUAUCUUUCAUCUAGGAAUGCUAAUACAGGCGGUUUUGCAAGUGCGGCUGUAAGCCUUUCCGCAAUGACAACGCUGAGAACUGACCGUCACUGGGCUUCAGCGCAUUCAGAGCCGUGUUCAGCAAUACAUUGGAGCUUCUGAAAGGUCUUGAAAUAUACACCUAACAAACCAGCUCAUCCAUCUGUGCUUGUCCAGGCAGGGACAAGUCCUUGUCCUCUUUGUUGGCGAAACUGAGGCAGCGGCUUGCCCAAAGUCACCCAGGAGCAGCUGUAGAGCUGGAAGAGAGCAGCUGGGGCUGCAGUCCCGGGGGGGUCUGCCCUGACAUGCAAAACCCGUGCCGUGCAGACCACCUGCACCCACGCAGGAGCUCUGGCGAGGGGACUGGGAAGACCGCAGUGCAAUGCAAUGUUUUGAGUCCCGUGAAAAAGGACCACAGUCUUUCUGAGUGCUGCUGUUGUCUCAGGAUGUCUACGCAGCACUUUCGGUAGAAAGCCGUCCCCAUCAUCUUCGCUCCUUAUCAACCAUAUCAACCUCCUCUGUAUUUGCUGUCCAGACAAUUUGAGGACAAAUAAGGAAAGAGCAUGAACUGCCAGCUGCUUUCCAUAGAGUUCACUGGUUUCUCCUGAAUGUUUUGCAAGAGUUUUGUUUAGCCCUGCGUUGACUUCCGUCUGUAGCAGUAUGAACAAGCAAAUGAGCCAGCAUCAUCCUCAUGUGAAUAUAAACGGCCCGACAGUGGUCACACAACGGCAGCACAUCAGACAGUGGUGCUUGAAAUGUGACCUGAUGCUACAAAACCACAGCAUAGCCUCAGUUAUGUCCUUUGUUUUAUUAUUAUGCUCUUUGUUCUCAAGGUCUGUAGCAAACCCUACAGAAAUACAGUGCCAGUGUUUGGGAUUUUAGGGUAUUUUUUUGAACAAGUUGUUGCAAAUCAGCUGCUAAAAAUAUGUCUGUAAUGGCUUUAGAAAACCACAUUUCCUGUAAAAUCAGCUAGGAUUGUCACCCUGCCUGGGCUUUCUUGUCCUUCUGCAGUAACCCAGCACGUCUGUAGAAGAUGUAUGGCCAUUUUUUCCCUGUCUUUUCUCAACGAAAAUGUAUUCAGAAAGACUGCUGGUCUUCUCCACUUCAAGGGAAGACUAAUUAGAAGACAUUGUCAUUAGGCUGGUAGCACCAGCCUAUCCCCAAAACAUUUAUCUUCCCUCUGCACAGUAACAACUGGAAAAGAAGGUAGGGUUAAACCAGAGUGAUGCAGGAGCUCCACACACACCGAGGAGAAACUGCAUCUUGUUUUACCUUCAGCUGAUCCAAUAUUUUCUGCAGAGCCUGGUUUUUGAUAGAAUGAUUAAACACCAUUUUUGAACAGGCCUGGGAAGGCAGCAAAUUUGUUCUCAGCACACACAUAAAUAAAGCCAUGACGUCUGAAGGUCUAAAAAAGUUUGUAAAAGGUCUAUCAGCAAGAAAUAGCAUUUCCAAGGCAACUCCACUGUCAACUUUUCUGCUUGAAUAUUUCAACAGAAAUUAUUAGUGCGGAUUUUUUUUUAAUCAUCGUGGAGGUUUUCGAAAAACUUGGUGAUCCUUCUUCCAUCUGUGAAAUGCUCUUUUUCUUUUUAGCGUAUCUUUGACAAAUUGCUUACUGUCUUUUUAUUUUUUUUCCUCCCCAAAUCAACUGUGAUCUGUCUUAAUGUAUAUUCGGAUAUUCACAGAUGUUUUGGCACAAUAGAUACUUCCUUUUCUCUUUGCCAUCGCAAGAAUCAGUUGUUUGCUGGCUGGGUGGAUUUUUCGUUAACAAAUCUCAAAAAACAUAAUGCUUUGCUUAAUUAUAGAGUCACUUUUUUCAGCUUCCUUAUCAGAAGAUAGAGGUAAUUGUGCAACAUGCAGAUCAAAUUCCAGGUAUUUCAGCUAACUGUGCUGUUCAAGGACUAUUGUUCUGAGCUUCUGAGUGGGUUUGUUACAUUAAUUUUUCAUGAACAUUUACAGCAGUAAAGAUUACCAGCUGGUUUACUGCUAAUAAGUAAUGAUCAUGAAAGGCCAAAUUAAAAGCUGUUUUGUAAUUUAAAGAGACAAACCUCCAGCUGAUUCUUUCUUUUCCAUUACUUGCAAUAUUCACAAUGUCAGUUUUGGAUUUGUGUUUUGUGUUUUCAGAUCUUUAGCCCUCUUCUUUCUUAUCCACAGGGGCCAAGUCAGGGCAGAGACAGCAAGAGGCGGACAAGGACAGCAGAAGCAGGGACUGUCUUUUUUCAUUGGCAGCGCUGGAUGAAGAUGUAUGUGAAACUUCAGCCUUAAACCAAUCAUGCCUCAGCUCUUCACCUGUGAGAAUAGAGUUAAUAAACUCUCACUGUUUUCCUGUCCUGUCUUCUGCUAUUACCUGUGCUACGAUCCAAAGGGGCGCUGGGUUUAGCUAUUUAGCAAUUCUAUAAUAAUUGCAGAUGCAGAUGCAAAGUGGCAUUCUUCGUUAUGAAACACAAUAUCUGUUGAUAAUUAGCUAUAGAUGAACUUGAACUCUGCAUUUUUUAGCUAAGAAAUUUUUUCUUGUAUGCUUUUGUUUUCUGAGAGAAACAUAAAACAAAAAUAUCUGUUUUUUAAGUACCCAGCCCCACACUUCCUGACUGACCCGGUAUAAACCAUUGCUGCUCUGCACACAUUAUUUCCUCUCUUUGAAAAAAAAAAAAAAAAUUACAUUACCCACAGUCUGGCAAUACCUUACUUGGCAUUGACCUUAACUCUCAUAUUCUGGGGGUAGCAAGCUGCUCUUCACGAGAAGGUAAGCUCAAAACAGAGCAAAGCAUAUAUGUAAUGCAUGAUGAGAAGGGUUUGAGACAUCUGCUUCUACAGCCCUGGUCUUUUCUGAUUCUGUUGACUGGUCCCCUCCCUGACAUCAAAGUGCCUCACUGAUGUCCACUGCAGGAGGAGGCUGAAAACCUUUUGCUUUUCUCUUUCUGCAUUGGGAAGGAUUUUCUUUUGUUGCUUUUUUAGUUUAGCUAUUUUCUUAGCUAAAUGAAUAAUUUCUGCAAAAGCACUGCUAUUGCAAUGCCAGAUGCUAAAGUCUGGCUAUUGUUAGACUACGCACACCAUCAAAAAGCAACUUGAGCUCUUGUCUUUGCUUUGUGACUGAGGCUUUUCUUCCCCAGGAGUAGCUGAGGUCCCCUCAUGCUGCUGAAGACUUCUGCCAAGUCAGCAGCUCUGCGUGUUAGCUCCAUCUGUGCUGCCAGACCAGUGGAAGCUGGUGCCGGUCAUGUACAGGGAGCAGGUUCCUCUUACUUUCCUGUAGAGGUCCUAUAAGGAACCACUUCUCCAGUUGCAUUUCUGCAUGUUGUUUGUUUGUUGGUUGGUUUUUUGAAUUUUUAUUUAGUUGUGUGGGGAGUUUUUUUGGUCAAACGGUAUCAUAGUUUGUUUUGUUUUCAUGGAAUACCUUGAAAAAUGAACUCUGUUUUGCCAUAUUUGAACAUUGUUUUGAUACAAUAUUUGGAUUUUGUUUAAAUCUGCUAAAAUUUAUUUAUAAACAGAUUUAUCUAUAGAUCUGUUUAUAAAUUAUUAUUUUAGUAUGAUUCAAUAGAAAACUGGUAUUAUUCAGCUUCAACUUUUUCAUUAUUUUUAAAAUAAAAAAUAAAAUUGGUGCAAAUUAUCAGUUGUUGACAAAGGGAACCUUCUUUUAAUCUAUUUGCCCCUGGGGUAAUAAACCAGGCGCUGUCUUCUGGUUUAACUUUUAAAUCCUCAGUUCCACGUGUAAGCCGUUUUUGUCCUGACAGCAUGUGGCUGAACACAGGCUGCACAGAUAU